This 1294-nucleotide long non-coding RNA is filed under the name Triticum aestivum (bread wheat). Its description in RNAcentral is "long non-coding RNA (TAES_LNC006653)". Lineage: Eukaryota; Viridiplantae; Streptophyta; Magnoliopsida; Poales; Poaceae. The record is from RNAcentral.
UUUCUUUGUUUUUUUUCUUACAUUCAAUUUUUAGAUUAUUGUAGUCAACUAGGUGCACAUUGCUUGUAGUCAACACACCGAUAUACCAAUCAUCAAGUUUUAUUUUUUCAUAGUUUGUAGUCAACACACCGAUUCAAAUAACAGCCAAACUCAGUUUAUUACAAUAUUCCACACAAUCACAAUAUACACCAUACAUUAUUUCACCAAUCACAAUAUAGCACUCUACAGGUAAAACUCUCAACAAUAUAGCACUCUAUAUCAGGGGCCAGCCAAGCCUACUACCAUGCAUGAGGCCACAACCAGCCCAAUAUUAUCAGCACCGUUGGAGCCCUGACCAACGUCCAAGCUUUAUCAAGCUCCCUGCAAAUUGCAUUUAGUGGCAAAGCAUCAAUAGAUGAAGUUGCAAAAUGAAUAUCUUAGGGGAAGCUACACUUGGCAUAUACACGGGCAGAGUUGGGUUUAAGUAACCAAGUCAUGUUUAAAAGAGUUAACUGAAGGAGUACAAUUAGUGCGUAACCUGGAAAACAUAUAGCUAGAGGCAUAGAGUAUCAACAACAGCAAUACAUCUAGAGGCUUAGAGCAUUAGAGCAUCAACAACAGCAGUAUAGCUAAAGGCCUAGAGCAUCAACAGCAGCAGUACAGCUAGAUUCUAGAGUAGUAGAGCAUCAACAGCAGCAGUGCAGCUAGAGGCCUAGCGCUUUUCUUCCCGCACAUGACCAAGGCGAGGCGUUGAGCCAGCGCCUCUUGCUUCAGCGCGCAUAAUCGGCCUAUGAAGCGCGCCUUCUUGAACUUUGGCAACACAUGCUUGCAUAAACUCAUGGAAGGAAGGUGACAGCAUUUCAGAGUAAUCCAAUUCAAAAUCAGAAGGUGUGUUUUCUACUCAAUAUUAACAGGGAUGCGUGUACCUCUAUGCUUUGGCAUCUCAGUCGGAGGGGGCAAAAAAUAGGCCAGCAAAGUGAAGCCAUCUCUUGUUGCUUCAUGCAAAGCUAUAGCCAGCCAGGAAGCAGCAGCACCAAGUUUCAUGUGAUGGCGCAGUGGAACCAGCAAAAUAUAUUGUCCUGCAGAGGCAUUCUUAUCACCAUACAAUUAUCACAACUAGUAAUUGCAAGAACAAGAAAGCUUAAACAAAGGUUAAAGCUCGGUAACAACAGCAGCAGGUCAAUAACAACAGCAUCAAGUCCUGGGAGUGCUUUAAUUUAGUCCAUUUUUUAUCAACAACUUAUCCUAACGACGACAUGCUAUCGAACUUUGGAAAAUACAGUAUGAAUAUGACAGCAAUAGCAGCAAGUCCUAC